RNAcentral lists this ribosomal RNA (253 nucleotides) under uncultured bacterium. Its description in RNAcentral is "partial 16S ribosomal RNA". It matches the Rfam family "Bacterial small subunit ribosomal RNA", at positions 524 to 776 of the family's 1533-position model. The record is from RNAcentral.
GACGGAGGGUGCUAGCGUUGUUCGGAAUGACUGGGCGUAAAGCGCGCGUAGGCGGCUACUUAAGUCGGAUGUGAAAGCCCUUGGCUCAACUGAGGAAGUGCACCCGAAACUGAGUGGCUUGAGUACUAAAGAGGGUCGCGGAAUUCCCGGUGUAGAGGUGAAAUUCGUAGAUAUCGGGAGGAACACCGGUGGCGAAGGCGGCGACCUGGGUAGAUACUGACGCUGAGGCGCGAAAGCGUGGGGAGCAAACAGG